GAUGAACGCUGGCGGCGUGCCUAAUACAUGCAAGUCGAGCGAACAGACGAGGAGCUUGCUCCUCUGACGUUAGCGGCGGACGGGUGAGUAACACGUGGAUAACCUACCUAUAAGACUGGGAUAACUUCGGGAAACCGGAGCUAAUACCGGAUAAUAUAUUGAACCGCAUGGUUCAAUAGUGAAAGACGGUUUUGCUGUCACUUAUAGAUGGAUCCGCGCCGCAUUAGCUAGUUGGUAAGGUAACGGCUUACCAAGGCAACGAUGCGUAGCCGACCUGAGAGGGUGAUCGGCCACACUGGAACUGAGACACGGACCAGACUCCUACGGGAGGCAGCAGUAGGGAAUCUUCCGCAAUGGGCGAAAGCCUGACGGAGCAACGCCGCGUGAGUGAUGAAGGACUUCGGAUCGUAAAACUCUGUUAUUAGGGAAGAACAAAUGUGUAAGUAACUAUGCACGUCUUGACGGUACCUAAUCAGAAAGCCACGGCUAACUACGU
Molecule: ribosomal RNA, 496 nt
Filed under: uncultured bacterium
Lineage: Bacteria
Description: partial 16S ribosomal RNA
Rfam family: Bacterial small subunit ribosomal RNA
Source: RNAcentral